GACGAACGCUGGCGGCGUGCUUAACACAUGCAAGUCGAACGAUGAAAGAGGAGCUUUCUCCUCUGGAUUAUUGGCGAACGGGUGAGUAACACGUGUGCAAUCUCCCCCUGACUCCGGGAGAUCUCCUGGAAACUGUGGCUAAUACCGGAUAUGCUCCAUACAGGCGUCUGGAUCGGUGGGAAAGAAUGUCUGUAAUGGAUCGUCUCGCUGCUUAUCAGCUUGUUUGUGAGGUAGCGGCUGACCAAGGCUACGACGGCUAGCCUGCCUGAGAGCGUGACCGGCCACAAUAGGACUGAGGCACGGCCCAGAAUCGUACGGGAGGCAGCAGUGGAGAAUAUUACACAAUGGGCGCGAGCCUGAUGCAGCAACGCCGCGUGCGGAAAGACGGCCUUCGGGUUGUAAACCUCUUUUAGAAGAGAAGAAGCGAAAGUGACGGUACCUGCAGAAAAAGCGACGGCUAACUACGUG
This 468-nucleotide ribosomal RNA is filed under the name uncultured bacterium. RNAcentral's name for it is "partial 16S ribosomal RNA". It matches the Rfam family "Bacterial small subunit ribosomal RNA", at positions 28 to 507 of the family's 1533-position model. The record is from RNAcentral.